This 301-nucleotide ribosomal RNA is filed under the name uncultured bacterium. Its description in RNAcentral is "partial 16S ribosomal RNA". It matches the Rfam family "Bacterial small subunit ribosomal RNA", at positions 509 to 807 of the family's 1533-position model. The record is from RNAcentral.
CAGCCGCCGCGGUAAUACGAAGGGGGCUAGCGUUGCUCGGAAUGACUGGGCGUAAAGGGCGCGUAGGCGGCGAUCAAAGUCAGGCGUGAAAUUCCUGGGCUCAACCUGGGGGCUGCGUUUGAUACUUGAUUGCUAGAGUGGGGAAGAGGGUCGUGGAAUUCCCAGUGUAGAGGUGAAAUUCGUAGAUAUUGGGAAGAACACCGGUGGCGAAGGCGGCGACCUGGUCCUCGACUGACGCUGAGGCGCGAAAGCGUGGGGAGCAAACAGGAUUAGAUACCCGCGUAGUCCCUGUCUCUUAUAC